RNAcentral lists this ribosomal RNA (465 nucleotides) under uncultured bacterium. Its description in RNAcentral is "partial 16S ribosomal RNA". It matches the Rfam family "Bacterial small subunit ribosomal RNA", at positions 28 to 507 of the family's 1533-position model. The record is from RNAcentral.
GACGAACGCUGGCGGCGUGCUUAACACAUGCAAGUCGAACGCUGAACCCGCUUCGGUGGGGGAUGAGUGGCGAACGGGUGAGUAACACGUGGGCAACCUGCCCCCGGCUCUGGGAUAACUCCAAGAAAUUGGGGCUAAUACCGGAUGUGACCGCUGGCCGCAUGGUCUGGUGGUGGAAAGGGUUUCCGGCUGGGGAUGGGCCCGCGGCCUAUCAGCUUGUUGGUGGGGUAGUGGCCUACCAAGGCGACGACGGGUAGCCGGCCUGAGAGGGUGACCGGCCACACUGGGACUGAGACACGGCCCAGACUCCCACGGGAGGCAGCAGUGGGGAAUAUUGCGCAAUGGGCGGAAGCCUGACGCAGCGACGCCGCGUGGGGGAUGACGGCCUUCGGGUUGUAAACCUCUUUCAGCAGGGACGAAGCGCAAGUGACGGUACCUGCAGAAGAAGCACCGGCCAACUACGUG